CUCUAAAUAAUCUUAAGUAAAUCUAAAUAAAAUAUUAAUUGAAAUCUUAAUAAAUUUAAAUCAAAUUCAAGGUAAAAUCUUAAUUAAAUCCAUAUUGAAAUCCUAAUGAAUCUCAAUAAAUUCUUAGAUCAAAUUCUAAUGAAAUUCUAAUAAAAUCCUAAAUCCUAACCAAAUAUUAAUCAAAUUUUAAUCAAAUCAUAAACCCUAUAUUAAUACUAAUGAAAUCUUAAUCAUAUCCUAAUCAAAUUUUAAAUCCUAAUCAAAUCUUAAAUACCAGAUCAAUCCUAAUUAAAUACUAAUUAAAUCCUAAAUCAAUCCUAAUCAAAUCCUAAAUCCUAAAAAAAUCCUUAAAAAAAAUCCUAAAUCUUAAUCAAAUCCUAA
RNAcentral lists this long non-coding RNA (381 nucleotides) under Physcomitrium patens. Its description in RNAcentral is "long non-coding RNA (PPAT_LNC012076)". The record is from RNAcentral. Lineage: Eukaryota; Viridiplantae; Streptophyta; Bryopsida; Funariales; Funariaceae.